This 6283-nucleotide long non-coding RNA is filed under the name Nicotiana benthamiana. Its description in RNAcentral is "long non-coding RNA (NBEN_LNC021382)". The record is from RNAcentral. Lineage: Eukaryota; Viridiplantae; Streptophyta; Magnoliopsida; Solanales; Solanaceae.
UCAUUUUGAUCAACAGCCCAGAUCUUUCCUUUCCUUACUUAAUCGUGAAUGACCCUUAAUCCCUCCCCAAACCCUCUUCUCUCUCAAAUGCUCUCAAAUGCCCUCAAACCCUAAUCACCACCUACCCUUUUCGAUCUCAAAUCCACCGAAAUCCAUGGCUGCUCUAGCCAUGGAUGACCUAUAUUCACCUACCUUCACCCUUAAACCUUGGGUGUUUGAAGUUUCGAGUUCUGACCUCAGCUAUGUCCGUUCAGAUCUUCUCAGAUCCGUGGUUCUAUGGACUCUUACUCCGGCGUGUUCAAGCUUUAGGAGCCUAUCUCUGCCAUCUCCGACUCGAGACCAGACUUUCUUCUAAGCCUUCUCAUUUCUAGGGUUCCUCAAAAACCCUAAAGCUAUUCGAGGUUUUUCUCUGGUUUAUUUCUUAGAUCUAUGUUGUAUCUAUGGUAUAUUCUAGGUUUUAAGCUUUUCCCCCAAUUUUCCUUUCAAAGUUAGUUUGUUUUCGAUUUAGGGUUUCUGAAAAAAGCCUUAAAAUGACUUCUUUCUCUUCUUCUUCUAUUCGUUGUGUGAAUCUGUCUAUUCCAUGUUCUUAUGUUCUCUUUUCCAACUCGCAUGUUCUUUUUCUCUUGUGUUCUAUGUUGCCGUGUUAUGUAUGCUCUUCUAUUUUGUGCUCUGUUCUUUCUUUUACUGAUUUUUAUAGCAUGCUUUUACAUUUCUAUCAAAUUUGUUCCUUUAGUGUAUUUUAUACUGACCUUUUAAUCCUUGUUUGCUUUUACUAGACCUUUAUUUGAACUUUAAGCAUGUUUCAUCUACUGUUUUCCUGGGCUUAUACCGCCUCUUCUCUUCUGAACUUAUUUGAGUGGAAAGCUUUAUUUAAAUGUGUACCAUGUGUUUCAAAAUAGUUUUUGCAUUCCAUUUGCCUUGAGCCUGCUAUGCUAUUUGUUUAUUUUCUCAUAUGUCUCUGAAAAGAAUACUGAGCCUAUUCUAGUUAUAUUGUCUUCUCGUCUAUGCAUAUGAUUCUAGUCAGAAACCCUAGUAUUUGGGGGGGUUCUGGGCAUGCUUGAUUUUAUGUUUUGACUAGGGUUCUAUUCAGAACCAUUGACUCUCUCAGACACAUUCUGAGUCUAUGAACUAAACUCUCUUUGUUAUGAAUCUUAUUGCUUUUUCUAUGCUAGUUUUGUGGUUAACACAACAACUCUUUCUCUUGCCUCACAUGUCUGUAUGAUUAUAUAUGAGAACCCCUCCUUCAAAAGGUCUUUUCCAGCUAAUUAAUUAAUUUCAAAUUCCUUUUAAUGAUUCAUGACUAAUUGUUAGUGAUUUCUCUAAUUGAACCUUCCCUUCCCCUUUUCUUGACCUGGUUCAUUCAAACGAAGCUGUCACUUUGAUUUUUACUAGCUGCAAAUUGAUGCUUUUCCUUAUUUUUCCCAAAUCGUGUACUACUAGACUUUUGCCUUAAAUAAUGUCUUUGUGUAUUUACCCGUAUUAUGUUAAUCUGGAAAAAGGUUCUAGUUAUUUUUUUUCCGUAAUUACCUCAUGCCCGUUUGAAAUCAAAUCCCUUGACUGAAGGGAAAUCAUUGAGACUGAUUUUCAAAGUUAUUUUCUUACCUCUUCCUACUUGUUCUCUUCACUAUAAAAAGACACUUUGUUAACACUGAAAAAGGAAAGAAUUCGACUAAGACUCUGGAGUUGCAUUCUAACAUACACAACAGCAUUAAGCACUCUGCUUUCUACUCUCUUCUUCUCUAUACUUCUACUCUUUGCUUUCUGAAACACCUUUGAGUUGUCUUCGAGCCUUCAAGUGUUCUGCUGAGAAUUUGAGUUUGUUCCUGCCGUUUUCUUAUUCUAACUUUGCAACUGGUAUGUUCUCCUUAGUUUAGAUAAUGCUCCUCACUAUGUGUUUACAUCCUAAGUUUUGUUAUGCUCUUCUUUACUAUGUUCAUGCAAAUUUGUUACUACUUCUCUUAUAUGAACUCUCUUUCCCUUUCCCCCUAUGUAUGUGAGUAUGGUUCAAGACAUAGCAGCACUUUAAAUUGUUGUCUAUGACUCUGAACUGGGUUCUUUGAACCCCAAACUCAAUCAAUUCCCACUCCCCUUUUCCCUUUAUGUGUUUGAACCUUGGACUUGGGUCUAAUGGUGUCCUUAUCAUUAUCCAGACUUAGGUCUGACCUUCAAGCGUGUGCUCCUAACUUGUUUAACCAAACAAGCAGUCAGGGUGUGUCGGCCUACACUUGUGGCUAGGCAGGACCACCAUUUGUAUGGCUCCCCAAUUCCCUUUUCACUUUGCAUUUAAUCUUAGCUAUAAGUUCUGCCCCUCUCUUGUAAGCCAUGCUUUGGGACCCCUGAGCACCCUCUAAACUUGGAUGUAUGAGGGUUUGCUCUUGCACACUGCACUAUUCUAAUUCUAAUGGUCUCCGAGGUGUAAGUAAUGCUGGGAAUCCUUGAGAUUCCUUGGAACAUUGAAAACUUGGGAUAAAGAUAAGGCUUUGGAAAUUUGGAUCCCAUAAAUGGUUAAUCACAUAUUGUUAGGCAUUUAGCCAGACUUAGGUACCUUGGAUGAAACUCUAGUUUUGAUGUAUUACUUUUCAGGUUUGUAAUAAUUUAUAUAAAACUCGGGGAUUAUAGUAAAAGAGGGAUGGUUUUUUACUUUCUUGCAUCGAAAGUGUAGAUAUCAUGAUCUAUGACUUUACUUCUACCAGAAAUCCUGCCCAUAGGCCUGUUUAACAUUUCUGAUUCUAUCACAUAGAGACCAUGCCUAUAGGGUUUAACGUUCAUAUUCUGUAAUUAACACAUAUAAAGAUCAUGCCUAUAGGAUAUGCAUAUUCAUUAGGCAAAAUUCUAGGAUUAAUUAAACAAGCAUCUUUUCACAAGUCCAUUAAACAAGUUCUGAAAAUCAAUAACGUAGAUAUCAUGCCAAUAGAAUUUGCAUCAAAUUCGUUUGCCUGUUUUAAAACAGUAAUAAUUGGCUAUUUGUUUCUUAAAUGCCUAACUCAGUGACGUUUUUCUUAAACUUUAACCUUUGAUAAAUUUCUCUUCAAAACAGUGUACAUUCAUUUUUUUAAAGUCGAGUUCUUCAAAAUUUGCAUCUUUUCUGAAAAGGGUUUUCUAUUGUUUUGCCUUAACAUAUCUUUAAGCUAAGUUUCUAAAUUCAUUAUUUAAAUCAGUUCUGCAACUUACUCUUUUCUUAAGACAAGUUUUGUUUUUUCUCUGAAAUUCUUUUACAACUACUUCUGUGUUUUAUGACUGGACAAUCCGAUGAUCCAUUUUAAAAAAUUCAAAAUAGUUUACUAAGUCUGGAACCUGUUCUUUCUUUCAAAAAACUCUUCCGCAUUAGUUAUCUUCUAAAAUUAGAACAUGCCUAAACAACUCGCAUUCAAAUGCCUUAACUCUGACAAUUGUAUCUAAGUUGCCUAAUGCAGACUUUCUAUCUAAAUAUAUGUAUUGAACUAGUCCGCUCACCGCUUAAUUUUAAUAUAAGACCAAACCAGUAUGUUCCUUGACAUGCUAAACUAAGUGUUUGUCUGAUUUAAGGGGUUUAUUUGAGACUUACUUAUUUGUUUACUCUUCCCUUUAUUUGCUAUUUAUUUUGAAUGUCGAAACUAGAAUUUUAUCCUUUAAACUUUACAAAAGCCCCAUCCCUUUGUUCCCUCUUAGUAUUAGAAGUCCUAAUACCCUGGUACUGAUAAGUUGGGACGGGUAGUAGCAUGCAAUAAGUAAUCGAGACUAAACGCACUUUAAUACCUUAAUGGGGUGGGAAGGGUAGAAUAUGGAUAUGAUGACCGGUGCGCUAAUAUCUAGUGCAACCCCUCUUCUGAGGAGUGAUUGUUGGAUAUUCCAUUUAUCUGAUCUAUAUUAUGUUUAAACCUACCUCUUCUGAGGAGUGAUUGCUGGGUAUUGCAUCGAUUUGAUCCAUAUUGUGUUAAAAUCUAGGACCCCACCCCCUUUUCUUUUUUAUCUACAACGUUUUCUUUAGAUUCUGUUUCCUUUAAUUUAUUCCUUUUCUGAAAAAAACUGUCAAUUCCUUUCUUCUUUUAAAAGCUUUAAACUUAUUUGAAAUUACUAUGUGUAAGCCUUAUUUUUUCUUCUAUCUCCUAAAGCCACAAUUAUAGUAUGGUUGGGAACCACACUAGUGGAUCUUGAGGGGUGUCUAACACCUUCCCCUCGAGAUAAUCUCUAAGCCCUUACCCAAACUCUGGUUUCUUCUUUUUCAUUCCUUUGAAAGUGUCCUAAUGCACUAUAAUCAUUAGAUGGCGACUCUCAAAAACUCCAAAACCCAAUUAUCACAAGGGAUACCCGAUUUCGGACUCUCGUCCACAACAAAAGAGGGGGCGUCGACGGUGAGUAUGAACCAUCCCAGAGUAUCACUUCAGAAUCAGCUCCGACUCGCAUGUCUACCUCAUUCCAGUUACAUGACACCCAUUUACCUAAACUUCUACCUCAGUUGCCCAGGCCUUUCUAGAUUACAUCUACAAACUUCAUGGCCUACCCCAGACUGUAGUGAGUGACAGGGAUGUUGUGUUCUUGAGCAAGUUUUGGCGGUCUCUUUUUGAUCUCCAAGGAGUCCAACUACAUCACUCCACAGCUUAUCAUCCACAAUCAGAUGGUCAGACUAAAGCUGUCAACAAAUGUUUGGAAGGCUAUCUUAGAUGUAUGUGCACAGAUAGGCCUAAGGAUUGGGCUCAUUGGCUACCAUUAGCAGAAUGGUGGUAUAACAUCACAUAUCAUUCUGCCACUAAAUUGACUCCUUUUGAGGUGCUCUAUGGUCAAAAACCUCCCUUACACAUGCCUUAUAUUCCAUACAGCUCCAUGGUGGCUGAAGUUGAUAGAAGCUUGCAAGCCAGGGAAAUAACAAUCAGACUACUAAAACAUCAUCUUGCACUUGCUCAAUCACGAAUGAAAGCAUUGGCAGAUAAGAAGAGAUCCUUCCACAUAUCAUUCUGCUACUAAAUUGAAUCCUUUUGAGGUUCUUUAUGGUCAAAAACCUCCCUUACACAUGCCCUAUAUUCCAUACAGCUCCAUGGUAGAUGAAGUUAAUAGAAGCUUGCAAGCCAUGGAAACAACAAUCAGACUACUAAAGCAUCAUCUUGCACUUGCUCCAUCAAGAAUGAAAGCAUAGGCAUAUAAGAAGAGAUCCUUCAGAGAGUUUCAAGUGGGAGAUAUGGUGUUUGUAAGGUUGCAACCUUACAGGAAAAUGUCCUUAAAAGGUCACUCAUAUCACAAGCUCAGCCCCAAAUAUUUUAGUCCUUUUCAAGUACUCAAGAGAAUUGGAUCUAUGGCAUACCAGCUUCAACUUCCAUCUCAUGCUAAGAUACACUCCACAUUUCAUGUAUCUCAGCUUAAGAAGUGUGUUGGUUCUCAUAAUGUGAUCUCUGAUUUACCAGUCACAUUGUCCUGGAUCCUGAAAGCAUACUGGAAACCAGAGUAGUGACAAAACACAACAGACAAUGUCAGCAAUAUUUGGUGAAGUGGUUUAACUGCCCUCCUGAAGAUGGCACUUGGAUGGAUGUUGCUACUUUCAAACAUCAGUUUCCCCAAUUUGUCCUUGAGGACAAGGACUCUUAACGGGGGGAGGGGGGUAGUUGUUAUAUGCUAAAUAGUCAAGAAGGGUAUUGUAGACAUUUUAUACAAAAGCUGUUAUACAGUUAUAAGAGCAGUAACAGUUAGCUUGUUAGAAAUCGGUUAGUGAAGCUCCACUGUAGAAACAUGCUAUAAGAAGAACACUGAUGCAUUGUAACGGGAGUAGUAGUUGAAUAAUAAAUUCUCUCUCUUCUUCUCUAUCUUGAUCAAUUGUGAGUAUAGGAGUGUUUUGUUCAGAGGUUAUUCUUCUUCUUAAUCUCUUAGAUUCACUUCCAAUUUCAACCUCCAUUGUUGAAAUAGACAACAAAUAGUUCCUACGGUAUCUGCCCAUAGUACUUCAUUCACAAAUACGGGAGGAACUAUCAAAAAGUUGCUUUAUGCUUCCAAUUACUUCCCCAGAGCUGCUAGGAGAGACCAGCAUUCACAUAUCAAGCGAUCAUAUAUCAGAUGCUCAUUGUUGAUGCAUUGUAUUACCUUUGUCUAGGCCAUAAUCGCCUCCAAAGGUACUAGAUUUUUUAAUAUUAUUUAUAACUACAAAUUCUAGCCUAUUUUAUGCUCCUUUUUCUUGGGUUUUAGAUUAAAAGUGUCUACAAGUAUUCCCAAAACUUAUUGUGCUUGGUUGUAGUUUUUAGUCAAAAAGAGACAAGGAUGUCAUAACCAGCUCAAAAAGGAGUGGAACCUGCACAAGUUCAAAGCUGAGUCCCAAGAGCGC